CUUGUCCCCAUCUGUGUGUCCCUGAAGUGGGAAUAGUCUUGCUCUCUGCAGAGCUUUCUACGGCUGGCCCUGUAGAUGUGGCACAGGAGACCUCACCUUGGGUUGGCCUGCUUGGGAUUUGCUGAGGAACUUGUGCUGCCCACCUACAGAAAUGUGAAUUUGUUCAUUUCUCAUUGCCUCCUACGCUUGAGGACUCUUUGCUCUGUGCAUGGCAAGUACAAGAAAUAUGUGGACAAGAAUAUGAAUUUAUGAUUAAUGCAAGUGCUUGAAAAACAUGAUGCCUCAGUUGCAGAAAUGAGACUGGCCUCUGUGACCCUGGGCCUCUGAUUCAGAAAUAGUGUUGAUUUCCUGUGGUAAUUUUCUGUUUACAAUAUCUCUGUUGCUGUGCAACUGUGUCAAGAAGAG
Non-coding RNA from Sus scrofa (pig), 405 nucleotides. NCBI's taxonomy places the organism in Eukaryota, Metazoa, Chordata, Mammalia, Artiodactyla, Suidae. The record is from RefSeq and is a predicted model, not a curated record.